CCUACGGGAGGCAGCAGUAGGGAAUCUUGCGCAAUGGGGGAAACCCUGAAGCAGCAACGCCGCGUGGAGGAUGGAGGUUUUCGGAUUGUAAACUCCUUUUGUUAGGGAAGAUAAUGACGGUAUCUAACGAAUAAGCACCGGCUAACUCCGUGCCAGCAGCCGCGGUAAUACGGAGGGUGCAAGCGUUACUCGGAAUCACUGGGCGUAAAGAGCGCGUAGGCGGGAUAGCAAGUCAGAUGUGAAAUCCUAGGGCUUAACCAUAGAACUGCAUUUGAAACUGUUAUUCUAGAGUAUGGGAGAGGUAGGUGGAAUUCUUGGUGUAGGGGUAAAAUCCGUAGAGAUCAAGAGGAAUACUCAUGGCGAAGGCGACCUGCUAGAACAUAACUGACGCUGAUGCGCGAAAGCGUGGGGAGCAAACAGGAUUAGAUACCCUUGUAGUC
RNAcentral lists this ribosomal RNA (440 nucleotides) under uncultured bacterium. RNAcentral describes it as "partial 16S ribosomal RNA". It matches the Rfam family "Bacterial small subunit ribosomal RNA", at positions 338 to 795 of the family's 1533-position model. The record is from RNAcentral.